Acanthopagrus latus (yellowfin seabream) is the source of this 1464-nucleotide RNA transcript. It is a transcript of the gene named cytosolic iron-sulfur assembly component 2A, with no coding region annotated. The record is from RefSeq and is a predicted model, not a curated record. NCBI's taxonomy places the organism in Eukaryota, Metazoa, Chordata, Actinopteri, Spariformes, Sparidae. The transcript has 6 exons.
UCUUUAUCAUGGCGCUCACCAGAACAUGGACAUAGUUCUGAGCCUCGUGUCGUUAACUGUCACCAAAGUUUUACAGUUCUCUGGACUUGUGGACAAAAGGGAUGCCCUGAGGACGAGGAAGAUGGAGGAGAAAGCGUUAGAGGUGUACGAUGUGAUCCGAUCGAUCCGGGACCCGGAGAAGCCCAACACCCUGGAGGAGCUGGACGUGGUGACGGAGAAGUGUGUGGAGGUCCAGGAGCUGGGAGAGGACGAGUACCUCAUCAUCAUCAAGUUCUCUCCAACCGUCCCUCACUGCUCUCUGGCGACUCUGAUCGGUCUCUGCCUUCAGGUGAAGCUGCAGAGAUGUUUGCCAUUCAAACACAAGCCGUGUGUGAGAGGUCGAGGGUCAUGCAGAGAGGAGUUCUUGGAUGACCAUCAAACAAACAGCAGCGUGCGGCGGCAGGUGGAGGGAGCAGCCUCUUCAUUACAGGAGAGCUUCUCCUGCCUGAACCACAAGGAGGAAAAACAAAAGACCCUGACGGCAGCAGCUGACAGAGCUGGAGAACAUCAGGAAACAUUUAGCAGCUGAAGAAUCAGGCACAUUCUCAGGAGGUGGUGGAGAACAAACCAGAGCUACAAGGGAGAAAAACGCAGCGUCAGCAGGACGAUCGGCUCGCUCCGUGUCCGCUGGUCAACCUGAACUCACAGAACAGCUUCUGAAUGUUUCAUCUAGGUGUGACGGUCUUCCUCCUCCUGGUCACACCAGCUGGAAAUUUACAUUUCAGAAGGAACCCACUCUACAGAGGAAGACACAACACAAAGCUGACAGCCAGAGCAGCGCGUCCCCUCCGACGAGGACCUCGUACCUGAACAUGGAGCGAGUUAAAUCAGGUGGACGUGGAUUAGCUGCAAGAGUUCCAACAAACCACCAUGAUGUGACGUAACGUCUAUGCAAGAAAACGGUGACGAACACGACAAACUUGUUUCACCACCUCAAGCAAAAACUCUCCGUCCAGUCCGAGCAGACUGUGAAGGGUCGCGGAGCACGACUCAGCCGAACACAGCUGGAAGGAAACUCCUGCUGCGGUUACAUCUUGUCUGACUGACGAUACGGUGCCGAUCCAAAAGGUCCAGUUUUUAAAGACGUCCCCGUCUGCUUUGUCUGAAGAAUACCGGACAAACUCGCAGCUGCUGUCUUCAUCUUGAUAACCUUCGUUUUGUUUGAACUGAUAAAAUGCUGCUGCUGUAAUCACAGUUAAACAUUGUUCACUUUUGUUUUUAUAUCAUAAAUCAUAAAUAUAGUUUGAUGCAGUUUGACAUAAACAGAAGGACCCUCUUCCUUCAGCAGCAGGUGGCGCAACAAACUCAACAUGUGAGACAAUAAAACAGCUCUCAGUUUGAGCUGCGGCGCUCUCGAUGUUACAGAGUUGUGUGUUUGUGUUUGUGUUGUUUCAUUGUGGUUCAGUGUCUCAGUGAACUUUGUGU